UACGUAGGGGGCAAGCGUUGUCCGGAUUUAUUGGGCGUAAAGAGCGUGUAGGCGGCCAUACAGGUCCGUUGUGAAAACUGGAGGCUUAACCUCCAGACGUCGAUGGAAACCGUAUGGCUAGAGUCCGGAAGAGGAGAGUGGGAUUCCUGGUGUAGCGGUGAAAUGCGCAGAUAUCAGGAAGAACACCCGUGGCGAAGGCGGCUCUCUGGGACGGUACUGACGCUGAGACGCGAAAGCGUGGGGAGCGAACAGG
This 253-nucleotide ribosomal RNA is filed under the name uncultured bacterium. RNAcentral describes it as "partial 16S ribosomal RNA". It matches the Rfam family "Bacterial small subunit ribosomal RNA", at positions 524 to 776 of the family's 1533-position model. The record is from RNAcentral.